AGCCUGACUUGGGACUUGAUCCCAGGACCCUGAGAUCAUAACCUGAGCCAAUGGCAAACACCUAACCUACUGAACCACCCAGUCACCCCCAGUCACCCCCAGGGUCCAGAAUCUUCAUUUCAGGGGCAGAUAAGUUGCAGAUGGCUUGGUUUAGCUUCUUCUGGCCUCUGGAAGCCCACCUGGCUCAGGCUUGGACCUUUGUGGAACCAGUGACAGUGUGGGUUAGGCUGAGAAGGAACCAGCUGGAAAGCAUGUGUACUGCAAGGGUUGGGGCUGGGAGGGACAGGCGAGUAAGUAUGGUUGCAGGCUGGGAGCCAGAUGGGACUCAUUAUUCAACAGUUCAGGCUGAAUCCAGGAUGAGGGUGGAGCAAGCAGUUGAUAGAGAAGCAGACUAGGGCCUGGCACAGCACCGUAGCAUGAAUUAGAAAAAGGCGUUGCGCUGUGUGUGUUAGAAGAAGACAACAGGAAAGGAUGUCCCCUCACAACUGCUGCGGGUACCCUGGUAGGGACAGGAGAAAGCCAGCCAACCCCCAGGACAAGUCAAGGACCUGGUGCGAGAUUACCCAGCUGGAAGACACUGAGCCCGGAGGAUGAGAACUCUGGUCCAUCAAGGAAUGGAGUCCAGUUUCCACACAGGUCGGUCUCUGUGCUAGCCCUCAAGAUGCCCAGGUGAGAAGAUGUGGACUCUGCCCUCAAGUUGUUCCCAGCUGAGAGAAAACGGAGAAGCCAACACUCAGGAUGUGCUGGGAUGGAGCUGGCUGUGGAGUGGGUGGGUAGACAGGACUCCCACCACACCUCCCUGGGAGAAGGGGAGAAGACACUUUGAAAGUUCCUCACAGACCUGUCUAUUGAUGUUCUUGGUUCUACUCUUCAGAUCUCAGCCAGUAAUCAAUCAGGAGUCCCCACUGGUAGACCUAGAUCCUGCCUAUGUUCUCAAGAACCAUGGCCACUGGCAACUGAAAUACAGCUUAAGUGCUUGCUAAUGGAGGAGCCCACCCCCCUUGGCCCAGACCCUCCCCCACCCCGGUGGGGCUACAGCGCUGAGAAUCUAUGAAGAAAGGCCAGCUUGCCCGCUCACCUCAGUUUGGGGGGGGAAAGAGGUAAAGAACAUUAUCAGGUCAAUUGAAGAGAGGAUUGUAUUAAUACUAAAUUUACUGAAGUUGAUUAAUAUACUGUGGUUAUGUAAGGGAAUAUUUUUGUUCUUAGUACAUACACACUGAUGUAUUUAGGGGUAAAGAGCCAUGAUGUACCAUUUUCUUUCCAAAGAUUCAGAAAAAUGUUUUAUAUAACAUAUGGAUAUUUGUAAACACUUAUUUACAUAUAUGUCUACAUAUAUAAAGAGAGAGAGCAAAUGAUGAAACAAAUGGGCAAAAUGUUAAUAGGUGGAUCUAAGCAAGAUGUAGGUAUUCUGUGUCCAAUUUAUAUUUCUGCAACUUUUCUGUGUAUUUGAAAUUAUUUUCAAAUAAAAAUUCUUAAAAUUUUA
Long non-coding RNA from Canis lupus familiaris (dog), 1483 nucleotides. RefSeq lists it as uncharacterized. Lineage: Eukaryota; Metazoa; Chordata; Mammalia; Carnivora; Canidae. The record is from RefSeq and is a predicted model, not a curated record. The transcript has 4 exons.